This is a long non-coding RNA of Seriola aureovittata, 192 nucleotides long. RefSeq lists it as uncharacterized. The transcript is spliced from 3 exons. NCBI's taxonomy places the organism in Eukaryota, Metazoa, Chordata, Actinopteri, Carangiformes, Carangidae. The record is from RefSeq and is a predicted model, not a curated record.
GAACAUCUGUUGAACAUCUGCAGCCUCCACCAUGAAGACGCUGGCUCUGUCUGUGCUUGUGUGUGUCCUGAUGGCUCUGACUCGAUCUGCCGCUCAUGCACAAGGAUUGAGGGAUGGAUAUGAGCCUCGGGUCGUUGCUGCCUCCAGCGAUGGAGGUGACAUGGGUAAAGCUGAUGGACUGGAAUGAGUGUG